RNAcentral lists this signal recognition particle RNA (329 nucleotides) under Candidatus Bathyarchaeota archaeon. RNAcentral's name for it is "signal recognition particle sRNA". It matches the Rfam family "Archaeal signal recognition particle RNA". The record is from RNAcentral. Lineage: Archaea; Thermoproteati; Candidatus Bathyarchaeota.
UGGCGGGCCUUAAGUGGGGGGCUAGGGGUCCUCUGAAAGGCAUUGCCUUGACCGUAAAUCCUCUACACGACGGACUGACAGCCGAGGCUGAGAUGUCAAAGAGCGUCAGGCUCCGCUUACCCUUGCAAUGAAUAUCCGUCCCUUGGGGCUGGCGGUCACGGAGCUGUCUCUGUAGGGAGGCAGUUUCUGUACUUGCUAGGUGAAUCUGGCCAGGCCCGGGAGGGAGCAACCUAAGUCUAGACGUUUAGCGCUCAAGGGGGUGCGGAUACUAGACAAGAGUAAGCUGUGGGCUUGACUAAAACUGGGCACCGAACCUCGGUGACCCGUCA